GACAUUCUUGCUAUCCCCGUCUCUUCGGUUGCUUCUGAAUCAGCUUUUAGUACAGGGAAGCGUGUCCUUGACCCAUUUCGGAGCUCUUUAUCUCCUAGGACAGUUGAGGCCCUGAUUCUAACACAGAACUGGUUGCGCACACCUCUGAAUAUUGAUGUAUCAAGCUUUGCAGUUGAUAAUGCUGAAGAGUUUGAGACAGAUAUCCUAGGCCCCGUGACUGCAGAAGAUUGAUAGAGGGAGCUAAUGACAACUAAUGGUAUUUGAUUAAUGGUGCUACUUGGAAGAAACUAUGGAAUAAUCUAUCCUAUUGGAGUUUCACUUACACAUUAGCUGAAGAAUACCUGGAGUUUGCAUAUUAGUUGAAGAAUAAAACCUUAGUGAUAUCGUUCGUUCAUUCUUUAUUCAUUCAUUCUUUAUUCUUAC
Long non-coding RNA from Papaver somniferum (opium poppy), 423 nucleotides. RefSeq lists it as uncharacterized. The transcript has 3 exons. The record is from RefSeq and is a predicted model, not a curated record. NCBI's taxonomy places the organism in Eukaryota, Viridiplantae, Streptophyta, Magnoliopsida, Ranunculales, Papaveraceae.